GUGGGGAAUAUUGGGCAAUGGGGGAAACCCUGACCCAGCAACGCCGCGUGAAGGAAGAAGGUUUUCGGAUCGUAAACUUCUAUCCUUGGUGAAGAUAAUGACGGUAGCCAAGAAGGAAGCCCCGGCUAACUACGUGCCAGCAGCCGCGGUAAUACGUAGGGGGCAAGCGUUGUCCGGAAUGAUUGGGCGUAAAGGGCGCGUAGGCGGCCUGGUAAGUCUGGAGUGAAAGUCCUGCUUUUAAGGUGGGAAUUGCUUUGGAUACUGUCGGGCUUGAGUGCAGGAGAGGUAAGCGGAAUUCCCGGUGUAGCGGUGAAAUGCGUAGAGAUCGGGAGGAACACCAGUGGCGAAGGCGGCUUACUGGACUGUAACUGACGCUGAGGCGCGAAAGUGUGGGGAGCAAACAGGAUUAGAAACCCUAGUAGUCC
Molecule: ribosomal RNA, 425 nt
Filed under: uncultured bacterium
Lineage: Bacteria
Description: bacterial SSU rRNA
Rfam family: Bacterial small subunit ribosomal RNA
Source: RNAcentral